ACAACAUAAAUGCGGAAAGCGCUGCCAACAACAGUAACUGUAAUUAAUAUAAAUAAUAUAUGCAAAAUCAAUUAAUUCAUUACACAGCUUAAGUGAAAGGUACGGGAUACAAUCAAUCAAUUUCGGUCACAGAUAAAUAGCUCUCAUUUCUUUUAUCAUAGAAAGUCGCUUUGAUUACACUUCCUUGUUAUUUCGACAGCAAAUAUUAGAACUAGUUGAGCGUAUGACAGCGAGUAUUUGGAUGUUUCAAGGUUGGAGAUGCUUAAAACUCAGCUGAAAAAUAGCCCAUCUAAAUGCCUGAAUUUAGAUCUAGAUAAGCUUGCAUAGUGAUACAACAGUAAGAGGUUCGGGUGUUUCGUACUAAACUAAGCUCAUUGACCAGCUUGACUAUUUGGCGACUUUCUAGACUUCAAUUGUUGUGGAUUGAGUUGAAGAAUAACACAUUCAUAUGUUAAAAUCUGGAUCUUGAUAUGACUGGGCAAUGACAAAACAAGUAUUUAAUAUAUCAUAAGAACUUAUAUUAUUUUGGAAAUAUCUAAGCAUUGUUACUAUUGAUCAAAUGUGAAGUUCUAGAUUUGGUAUGCAUCAUUCUUAGUCUGGCAAAACUUGACCAAUACCUAUUGGUGUGUCGAAGGGACAUCAAUAUAUAAAUCGAUAAGCAACAUGAAGAGUAGGCAACAAGUCUCAGUCAGCUUGAUUUCAGCCAAGUCAGAAUAUCCAGCAUCCAUCAACGAGUUUUGAACUUUCAUUCCAACAAUGUCAAUUAUAUCAAUUUCUCUUCGUGUUGAUUAAAUAGCAGGCAUAUGUCUGCUAUAGACAUAUGUGUUUAUAUCUUUCUGUAUAGAAAGACGAACUAUAUAUAAUGCAUUCUUAUAUGAACUUUAUGUUGUGUCUAAUAUGAUGCAAUCACCGAAACGAAUCUAAAUAUUUUUUAGCAUUAUAUGUUGAGUUGUUGUGAGAAUGGAUGAUCAUCAAUCACUCAUCUUCAAUUAAAAAUGCACUUAAAGCGGCAUUUGGAGAAGGUGAUGUUGAGAUUGAUUGUGUCUUCAAUGGAGGGAACAAGUUGAGGUAGCACUAUUCGCAUUUGACGUUAGAGACUGGAGAGGAAGUCGACCAGUAGAGAGCUUAGAGAGAAGUGUUGUUCAUACUGAAACCCGAUAACGGAUUAUUAUGACAAUUAAGUAAGUAAAUUGAGUGCAUAUCACAAAAAACUCUGGCAACUUUUAACAUUAUAUAACGAUACGUAUAUCUAAUGUAUUAAUACGUUUU
Teleopsis dalmanni is the source of this 1269-nucleotide long non-coding RNA. RefSeq lists it as uncharacterized. The transcript is spliced from 3 exons. Lineage: Eukaryota; Metazoa; Arthropoda; Insecta; Diptera; Diopsidae. The record is from RefSeq and is a predicted model, not a curated record.